Molecule: ribosomal RNA, 492 nt
Filed under: uncultured bacterium
Lineage: Bacteria
Description: partial 16S ribosomal RNA
Rfam family: Bacterial small subunit ribosomal RNA
Source: RNAcentral
AGUGAACGCUGGCGGUAGGCCUAACACAUGCAAGUCGAACGGCAGCACAGUAAGAGCUUGCUCUUACGGGUGGCGAGUGGCGGACGGGUGAGGAAUACAUCGGAAUCUACUUUUUCGUGGGGGAUAACGUAGGGAAACUUACGCUAAUACCGCAUACGACCUACGGGUGAAAGCGGGGGAUCUUCGGACCUUGCGCGAUUGAAUGAGCCGAUGUCGGAUUAGCUAGUUGGCGGGGUAAAGGCCCACCAAGGCGACGAUCCGUAGCUGGUCUGAGAGGAUGAUCGGCCACACUGGAACUGGGACACGGUCCAGACUCCUACGGGAGGCAGCAGUGGGGAAUAUUGGACAAUGGGCGCAAGCCUGAUACAGCCAUACCGCGUGGGUGAAGAAGGCCUUCGGGUUGUAAAGCCCUUUUGUUGGGAAAGAAAAGCAGCAGGUUAAUACCCCGCUGUUCUGACGGUACCCAAAGAAUAAGCACCGGCUAACUUCGUG